GAUGAAGAACGCAGCGAAAUGCGAUAAGUAAUGUGAAUUGCAGAAUUCAGUGAAUCAUCGAAUCUUUGAACGCAUCUUGCGCUCCUUGGUAGUCCGAGGAGCAUGCCUGUUUGAGUGUCAUUAAAGUUCUCAACCACAUUACUACAUAUGUGGCUUGGAUGUGGGGGUUUGCAGGCUUUCUCUGAGGGUCUGCUCCUCUGAAAUGCAUUAGUGGUAUUCCUGAGCUUUACUACAGAUGUGAUAAUUUAUCUACAUCCCAAAAGUAAGCUUCAGCAACACCGCUCCUAACAAGCGAAAGCACAUUUUGAUGAAUUUGACCUCAAAUCAGGUAGGACUACCCGCUGAACUUAAGCAUAUCAAUAAGCGGAGGA
This 371-nucleotide unclassified non-coding RNA is filed under the name soil metagenome. Its description in RNAcentral is "partial contains 5.8S ribosomal RNA, internal transcribed spacer 2, and large subunit ribosomal RNA". The stretch from base 1 to 120 matches the Rfam family "5.8S ribosomal RNA", at positions 35 to 154 of the family's 154-position model. The record is from RNAcentral.